Molecule: ribosomal RNA, 669 nt
Filed under: uncultured bacterium
Lineage: Bacteria
Description: bacterial SSU rRNA
Rfam family: Bacterial small subunit ribosomal RNA
Source: RNAcentral
GAGUUUGAUCCUGGCUCAGGAUAAACGCUGGCGGCGCACAUAAGACAUGCAAGUCGAACGGACUUAGGCUCAUUCUUUACGAUUGAGUACGGUUAGUGGCGGACUGGUGAGUAACGCGUGAGCAACCUGCCUAUAAGAGGGGAACAACAGCUAGAAAUGACUGCUAAUACCGCAUAAGCUGAUAGGUCCACAUGGACUAGUCAGAAAAGGAGCAAUCCGCUUAUAGAUGGGCUCGCGUCCGAUUAGCUAGUUGGUGGGGUAAAGGCCUACCAAGGCGACGAUCGGUAGCCGGACUGAGAGGUUGAACGGCCACAUUGGGACUGAGAUACGGCCCAGACUCCUACGGGAGGCAGCAGUCGGGAAUAUUGCGCAAUGGAGGAAACUCUGACGCAGUGACGCCGCGUAUAGGAAGAAGUUUUUCGGAAUGUAAACUAUUGUCGUUAGGGAAGAGAAAGGACGGUACCUAAGGAGGAAGCCCCGGCUAACUAUGUGCCAGCAGCCGCGGUAAUACAUAGGGGGCAAGCGUUAUCCGGAAUUAUUGGGUGUAAAGGGUGUGUAGACGGGAAAUUAAGUUGGUUGUGAAAUCCCCAGGCUUAACUUGGGAACUGCAACCGAAACUGGUUUUCUUGAGUACUGGAGAGGAAAGUGGAAUUCCUAGUGUAGCGGUGA